AAAAUAUUGGGGUAGCACCCUAGGAGGAACAUGUAGGAUUUAUCGUCCUCUUUUUCCUUUCCCUAUGUCUUUUCCUUCUCUUUUAUAUUUACACAUAUAUAAUUGACUCAAGUUUGAGAGAUUUAUUACUUGGCAACAGAUUUUCUUUCAUUUUGUAGGACUAUGUCUUAUCUUACAAAAACAGGAGGAUCGAGGUUCAUAUCCCAGGAAAAAGCAUCGGCUAACUCUAUGCCUGCAGCUAUGGUAAGACAGAGGAUGUAAGCGUUAUCCGGAAUGAUUGGGCAUAAAGCGUCUAUAGGUAGUUUUUUAAGUUCGCCGUUAAAUCCUAGGGCUCAACCCUGAACAGGCAGUGGAAACUACCAAGCUUUUCAGUGGAAACUACCAAGCUGGAGUAGGGUAGGGGCAGACGGAUUUCCGGUGGAGCGGUGAAAUGUGUAAAGAUUAGAAAGAACACGAACGACGAAAGCACUCUGCUAGGCCAACACUAAUACCGAUAGACAAAAGUUAGGGGAGCGAAUGUUAUUGGAUACCCGAGUAGUCCUAGCCGUAAAAGAUAGAUACUAGGCGUUGUGCAUAUCGACCCAUGCAUUGUUGUAGCUAACACAUUAAGUAUCCCAAGUCAUUUUUUCUUUAUCUUU
This is a ribosomal RNA of Lupinus angustifolius (narrow-leaved blue lupine), 638 nucleotides long. It matches the Rfam family "Bacterial small subunit ribosomal RNA". NCBI's taxonomy places the organism in Eukaryota, Viridiplantae, Streptophyta, Magnoliopsida, Fabales, Fabaceae. The record is from Rfam.